This 78-nucleotide transfer RNA is filed under the name Cordylochernes scorpioides. Its description in RNAcentral is "tRNA-Thr". The record is from RNAcentral. Lineage: Eukaryota; Metazoa; Arthropoda; Arachnida; Pseudoscorpiones; Chernetidae.
UCCAGGGUAGCCUAGUGGAAAUGGCAUCUGCCCGGUAAGAGGAACAGUGUGGGUUCGAUUCCAAUCCCACACUUUAAU